UUGUGAAAAAAAAAAAAACAAUUAGAAAGGGAAAGACAUGGUAGACCAGCAGUCUUCACUUGAUUGUGUUUCAUUUAUCAACCAUAUCUCUAAAUUUGACAAUGCAAGCUAAUGCACGCUCGAAAUGGCCAUCUUCUAAGGCAAUGGUGAAGCGACAGUAACCAGGAAUUCCGGUCCAUGUAGAGCUAUUAAUGCACAAGCCCGUGGUUUUAAGCAUGGCUUCUCUAAUAUUUGUGUCAUCAAGUUUGCCUUCCCAUGAAACUGAAUCUUCCCCAAUUUUCACCGCCUUCCCAAGGUAGGUAGAUGGCUUUGCCACCACUGAAACGCCAGAAUAAGCCUCGAGCACAUCCCAGCCACAACUUUCAAGGGUCUUUUUCAAGAGCUUAUAUCGACUAGCCAGGAUAUUUUCAUGCUCUGAGACAGCAUUGGAAAGUUCUGCUGUUCGUUCUCUUGAAUCCAACAGCUUCUUUACUUGGUAUUUGAUAGUGCUGUGAGGUUUACUCAAACCUGGAAAACUGUGGAAUGCUUCAAUUAGCGCAGGCUGGUCUACAAGUAGAAAUCCAAAUGUGACUCCAGCAGUAAGCAUCUUCAGAAACAAUCCUCCAAGCAAAGAAACACAGAAUGACUGAUUCUGAGAUCUUAGUUGAGCUAGAGUGUCCUUCAAAUUCCAGCCAUCCG
This 678-nucleotide unclassified non-coding RNA is filed under the name Hevea brasiliensis (rubber tree). The record is from RNAcentral. Lineage: Eukaryota; Viridiplantae; Streptophyta; Magnoliopsida; Malpighiales; Euphorbiaceae.